AUCCCUUCCUGGCCUGUUGGCUAAGAUCAAGUGAAGUAUUUGUUCUUGUCAGGGUAAUACCCAAUAUGUCCUUUAUCUCAGGAGAACAUGUUGGCUUUUGGAGCAGGAGGUGGAACAGGAGCUUUCUCCAUUCACUCUGCAUCACACUGCCACUACAGUUCUCUCAGGAAUGGUGCACCCCCU
RNAcentral lists this small nuclear RNA (183 nucleotides) under Dasypus novemcinctus (nine-banded armadillo). RNAcentral describes it as "U2 spliceosomal RNA (ENSDNOG00000032107.1)". It matches the Rfam family "U2 spliceosomal RNA". Rfam says of the family: U2 is a small nuclear RNA (snRNA) component of the spliceosome (involved in pre-mRNA splicing). Complementary binding between U2 snRNA (in an area lying towards the 5' end but 3' to hairpin I) and the branchpoint sequence (BPS) of the intron results the bulging out of an unpaired adenosine, on the BPS, which initiates a nucleophilic attack at the intronic 5' splice site, thus starting the first of two transesterification reactions that mediate splicing. Lineage: Eukaryota; Metazoa; Chordata; Mammalia; Cingulata; Dasypodidae. The record is from RNAcentral.